GGUGGUGUAGCUCAGUCGUAGAGAGUGUGCUUCCCGUGCAUGGAUUUUCUGGUUCAAUCCCUGGCACCUUCU
Molecule: transfer RNA, 72 nt
Filed under: Loxodonta africana (African savanna elephant)
Lineage: Eukaryota; Metazoa; Chordata; Mammalia; Proboscidea; Elephantidae
Rfam family: tRNA
About the family: Transfer RNA (tRNA) molecules are approximately 80 nucleotides in length.
Source: Rfam by way of RNAcentral